This is a long non-coding RNA of Scomber japonicus (chub mackerel), 1352 nucleotides long. RefSeq lists it as uncharacterized. Lineage: Eukaryota; Metazoa; Chordata; Actinopteri; Scombriformes; Scombridae. The record is from RefSeq and is a predicted model, not a curated record. The transcript is spliced from 3 exons.
GAUCUCAGCGUCGUCGGGUCGACUGAACAAGCAGCGACCGACGCGUCCGCUCAUUCUUUUCUCUUUUUUUUGGGAAUAAAGACACUUCCAUAAAAACAGCUUAUAGACUUUAUAUACAAACAUCUCACAGGUGGCGGGUCAGCUGACUAACACAGCAAAGUUAAAAUCUCUCAUAGAAGACUACCUGACAGUCGCUCCUCUGAAGUAUGAAGACGAGUUUAGGCACAAAGAUGAAUGAUAGUAAAAAACUGUACAAUACUGUGCAAGUGCAAAAAGCUGGAAGCGGAGCUGCAGCUCGAUUCACCGACUCUGAAACCACGCAUCUCUUUUGCUCGUGUCGAUUCAGAACAAAAAUUAUCCCUCAGACAAAUAAAAUGUUAAUAUCACUAAAUGUUACAGACGUCUGUGCGGACCUGCUGACUAACGAGAGGGACGACUGAGCUUUACUGAAACCUUCAAGAGACACGAGUUUGUUUUCACGCCGGAUCAUGUAGAGAUGCGUCAAUAAAACCGAAUAAUCGUUUGGUCGAGGUCACUUCCUGUCACGAUAUCUGCUCAAAAACUAAAAUCUAUUGAACCCAUUUAACUUUUAGGUCAAUGUUUAGCUGAAGUUUGUGAUGCACAGACAGACCAUCAGAUUGUGCUAUGGUUGCUAUGGAUACACGCUGUUCUAUGGCUGCUAUGGAUACAGGUUGUGUUCUAUGGUUGCUAUAGAUACAGGCUGUGUUCUAUGGUUGCUAUAGAAACAGGUUGUGUUAUAUGGUUGCUAAGGAUACAGGUCGUGUUCUGUGGUUGCUAUAGAUACAGGUUGUGUUCUGUGGUUGCUAUGGAUACAGGUUGUGUUCUAUGGUUGCUAUGGAUACAGGUUGUGUUCUAUGGUUGAUAUAGAUACAGGUUGUGUUCUAUGGUUGCUAUAGAUACAGGUUGUGUUCUAUGGUUGCUAUGGAUACAGGUUGUGAUGACAUCAGAGAUCCUGCUGGAGACAUUUCUGAAGUUGACUUUCAUGUUUAGAACCAACGAAGGUGUGAAUGAGUCUGUGGAGGCUGUAAAACAUCACAUUUAGGCUCAAUGAGAGAAAUAAAUCCAUGUUUUAUGUUGUCAUGGCAACAAAGAAGAAAAGCUAAGAAAUUGUGUUUUUGAAUAGCACUUUCUUGGUGUCAGCUACGAAGGGUUAAUCAAGAGUUGAGCUGUGUAGUCUUAGUGUGAAAGGUUCAUUAACAGCUACUGGAGAGCAGUUUUCUCUUCCAGCCACUAGGAGGAGCUCUGAGCUUGUGUUGAAGUUGAACCUGACAGUGAAUUUUAACUCCUCGGCUACUUUGACUCGGUAGUAAGUUAGUCUGUAGCAGCACAUA